RNAcentral lists this ribosomal RNA (433 nucleotides) under uncultured bacterium. RNAcentral describes it as "partial 16S ribosomal RNA". It matches the Rfam family "Bacterial small subunit ribosomal RNA", at positions 29 to 507 of the family's 1533-position model. The record is from RNAcentral.
AACGAACGCUGGCGGCAUGCCUAACACAUGCAAGUCGAACGAGACCUUCGGGUCUAGUGGCGCACGGGUGCGUAACGCGUGGGAACCUGCCCUUAGGUUCGGAAUAACUCCCCGAAAGGGGUGCUAAUACCGGAUAAUGUCUUCGGACCAAAGAUUUAUCGCCUUUGGAUGGGCCCGCGUUGGAUUAGCUAGUUGGUAGGGUAAAAGCCUACCAAGGCGACGAUCCAUAGCUGGUCUGAGAGGAUGAUCAGCCACACUGGGACUGAGACACGGCCCAGACUCAUACGGGAGGCAGCAGUGGGGAAUAUUGGACAAGGGGCGAAAGCCUGAUCCAGCAAUGCCGCGUGAGUGAUGAAGGCCUUAGGGUUGUAAAGCUCUUUUACCCGGGAUGAUAAUGACAGUACCGGGAGAAUAAGCUCCGGCUAACUCCGUG